This 364-nucleotide ribosomal RNA is filed under the name Bacillus cereus. RNAcentral describes it as "bacterial SSU rRNA". It matches the Rfam family "Bacterial small subunit ribosomal RNA", at positions 95 to 450 of the family's 1533-position model. Lineage: Bacteria; Bacillati; Bacillota; Bacilli; Caryophanales; Bacillaceae. The record is from RNAcentral.
GCGGCGGACGGGUGGAGUAACACCGUGGGUAACCUGCCCAUAAGACUGGGAUAACUCCGGGAAACCGGGGCUAAUACCGGAUAACAUUUUGAACCGCAUGGUUCGAAAUUGAAAGGCGGCUUCGGCUGUCACUUAUGGAUGGACCCGCGUCGCAUUAGCUAGUUGGUGAGGUAACGGCUCACCAAGGCAACGAUGCGUAGCCGACCUGAGAGGGUGAUCGGCCACACUGGGACUGAGACACGGCCCAGACUCCUACGGGAGGCAGCAGUAGGGAAUCUUCCGCAAUGGACGAAAGUCUGACGGAGCAACGCCGCGUGAGUGAUGAAGGCUUUCGGGUCGUAAAACUCUGUUGUUAGGGAAGAAC